ACCUUGUCAGCUCGGGGAUUCGAUCUAACAACCUUCCGGGUUACUGGCCCAACGCUCUAACCACUUCUAAUGCACAUACAUUUAACAGCAAAAUGUUUUAUUUCAUCCAGUCCUGCUACUACCCACUUCCUAUACAUCACAUUCAGGUUAACCUACAUAUUUUCAUAUUAAGGUGAUUAUGGAGGGAACUCUCUCUCUCUCUCUCUCUCUCUCUCUCUCUCUCUCUCUCUCUCUCUCUCCAUCUCGCUCUCUCUAUCACCAGGAUUGUGUAUCAUAUGACCCCCUAUUCCCUGUGUAGGGCACUACAAUUGAGCAGAGUCCAUAGGGCUGUGGCCAAAAUAAGUGCACUAUAUAUGGAAUAGGUUUCCAUUUAAGUAUGCAGCCCUAUACUCUCUCCUUCACAGUUAACCAUUGUUAGGCAGAGACAGUUAAGGGUCUGCUCACGUUGCCCUGUGACUGUGCGGUAAUGAAAUGGUGCUUUGUGUCCUCCGGCUCGGGGCCGGCCUGUCAGGGAGGAAAUCCUGUUGUUGCCUCCUGUGAAGACAUGCUUCCUUAUAUCACCAUAUGAAUACUGCUGUUAUGGAAUGUAAGGAAGUGUGUGGUUACAAGGGGACUGGUGCGCCAAACUGAGAAGAGGAUUUUGUGUUGACUUCUGGGCUAUACGAGUGAAUGACAUCUUUCAUUGGAGGAGGAUAUAGGACUAAUGGAAUUUAGAAAUGUACUUGAUUCAGACUUUUUACCCUGAAGGCCUAAAACAAAUUAGAACAUGUUUAGAUGUGUGUGUGUGUGUGUGUGUGUGUGUGUGUGUGUGUGUGUGUGUGUGUGUGUGUGUGUGUGUGUGUGUGUGUGUGUGUGUGUGUGUGUGUGUGUGUGUGUGUGUGUGUGUGUGUGUGACCCAGCCAACAGGUGAUAACACUGUUCCUCAUGCCGUGUCCUUCAGCCCACACACAUGUGAUAGUUAGCUAACCGUAGAGCUGUUGUAGCCUCAAGCCGGCCUACGUCUAAAAUGGCACCCUGUUCCCUAGAUAGUGCACUACUUUUGACCAAGGCCCGUGGAGAAUAGGGUGCCAUUUGGGGACGUAACCUUCGUUUCAGGCAGGUACCCACAGGACAGUUCCAGCCCAGCCCUGCGGACCGUCAGUGGGGAUUGACAGACCACAGCUGUCCUCAGUUACAGCAACAGAAGAACGGGGUUAUGGGAAAAAGGAGGGAGAGAAAGAGGUGGAGCUGUCAUUGGGAGUGGGGGUAAGGGAAAAGAGGACGUUUCUGAACUCAGACAUCAUCACAACUCCCAACAGCCGCUUUCUCUACCAUCUCUUCGUUUUAUUGUCUUUCGUCCUCCUUCUCUACCAUCUCUUUCUCCCUACUUUUCCCUCUCUCCUCCUCCUCCUCCUCCUCCCCACUCUCACCCAUCUCUUCUAUUUCCCCCCUCUCUUUCCCUCCUUCCCUCUCUUUCUCUCGUUCUCCCUGUCGUCCUAAAGCAGCACGCCUUGCUGUGGCUGGUCAAACGGAACCAAGUCAGGUGUUUCAGUGAGGUUUGGUCCCCUUCAACCAGCUACUGCGUCGUGAACUCAGUCAGCAGACAGACAGACAGACAGACAGACACCCGCAGCGGGAACGAAAGACAGAGUAGCCCUACUGCUGCAUGUUUUUGUGUCUACAUAAAUCAGGCGUUAAUGUGUUCUGUGUCUACAUAAAUCAGGUGUUAAUGUGUUCUGUGUCUACAUAAAUCAGGUGUUAAUGUGUUCUGUGUCUACAUAAAUCAGGUGUUAAUGUGUUCUGUGUCUACAUAAAUCAGGUGUUAAUGUGUUCUGUGUCUACAUAAAUCAGGUGUUAAUGUGUUCUGUGUCUACAUAAAUCAGGUGUUAAUGUGUUCUGUGUCUACAUAAAUCAGGUGUUAAUGUGUUCUGUGUCUACAUAAAUCAGGUGUUAAUGUGUUCUGUGUCUACAUAAAUCAGGUGUUAAUGUGUUCUGUGUCUACAUAAAUCAGGUGUUAAUGUGUUCUGUGUCUACAUAAAUCAGGUGUUAAUGAACAACAUUUUGUACACUAUGGAUUCCUCUUCCUUUUCAUACUGUAUGUUUCGGUCUUGUUUAUUAUUGUGCUUGAAAAAUAAAGAAUUAAAGAUGUGA
Molecule: long non-coding RNA, 2130 nt
Organism: Salmo salar (Atlantic salmon)
Lineage: Eukaryota; Metazoa; Chordata; Actinopteri; Salmoniformes; Salmonidae
Source: RefSeq, a predicted model, not a curated record